Molecule: long non-coding RNA, 7941 nt
Filed under: Zea mays
Lineage: Eukaryota; Viridiplantae; Streptophyta; Magnoliopsida; Poales; Poaceae
Description: long non-coding RNA (ZMAY_LNC003753)
Source: RNAcentral
UUGUGGCUUAAGUUUUUGAAGUUUUACAGGAUCACCUAUUCACCCCCCCCUCUAGGUGCUCUCAAUUGGUAUCGGAGCCGUUCUCUUCAAGAAAGGGACUAACCGCCCGAAGAGAUGGAUCCUAAGGGGAAGGGAAUUGUGAUCAACGACAAGGAGAAGGAGUCCUUCGUCAACGAGCCAAGGGAUGACAAGUCCAAUGACUCGGGCUCGGGCCACAAGCGAAGAGAUGGGAAGAAGAAGAAGACAAGACGCAUCAAGGAGAUCGUCUACUACGACAGCGAUGAGUCCUCUUCUUCCCAAAAGGACGACGACUACGACAAACAAAGGAAACCGGUUAAUUCUAACUUUUCUUUUGACUACUCUCGUAUUCCGCAUAGUUCAAAUUCACAUUUGCUUUCCAUUCCACUCGGCAAGCCCCCACACUUUGAUGGAGAGGACUACGGAUUUUGGAGCCACAAAAUGCGUAGUCACCUAUUCUCUCUCCAUCCUAGCAUAUGGGAGAUUGUAGAUAGUGGAAUGCACUUUAAUAGUUCGGAUAGUCCUAUAUUCAUUAAUGAGCAAAUCCAUAAGAAUGCACAAGCUACUACUGUUCUUCUAGCCUCAUUGUGCAGGGAUGAAUAUAAUAAAGUGAGUGGCUUGGAUAACGCCAAGCAAAUCUGGGAUACCCUCAAGAUCUCUCAUGAGGGAAAUGACGCUACCUUGCUCACCAAAAUGGAGUUGGUGGAGGGCGAGCUUGGACGGUUCGCGAUGAUAAGGGGCGAGGAGCCAACUCAAACAUACAACCGGCUCAAGACCCUUGUCAACAAAAUAAGGAGCUACGGAAGCACGCGAUGGACGGACCACGACGUCGUCCGACUAAUGCUCAGGUCCUUUACCGUUCUUGAUCCUCAUUUGGUGAAUAAUAUUCGUGAGAAUCCCAGGUACACCAAAAUGUCGCCCGAAGAAGUACUAGGAAAAUUCGUCAGCGGGCGAAUGAUGAUCAAGGAGGCAAGGUAUGUGGACGACGCCUUGAAUGGACCGAUCAACGAGCCGCAACCUUUUGCUCUCAAAGCCACAGGGAACAAGGAGGCGCUACCCAGCAAGGUGGCGCAAAUUGAGGCGGCCGGUCUUAAUGAAGAAGAAAUGGCCCUCAUUAUCAAGAGAUUCAAGACGGUGCUAAAGGGUCGCAAUGGACAGCCGAGCAAGACUAAGACCAAGGGGAAGCGAUCAUGCUUCAAAUGCGGUAAGCUUGGUCAUUUUAUUGCUAACUGUCCUGAUAAUGAUAGUGACCAGGAAAAGGGGAACAAGAGGGAAAAGAAGAAGCAUUACAAGAAGGCAAAGGGCGAGGCGCAUCUAGGCAAGGAGUGGGACUCGGAUUGCUCCUCGUCCGACUCCGACAAUGAAGGACUCGCCGCCACCGCCUUCAACAAAUCAACCCUCUUCCCCAACGAGCGUCACACAUGCCUUAUGGCAAGAGAGAAGAAGGUAUGUACUCGCAACUCUACCUAUGCUUCUUCAAGUGAGGACGAAUCUAGUGAUGAGGAUGAAGUAGAUUAUUCAUGUUUGUUCAAGGGCUUAGAUAGAUCUAAGAUAGACAAAAUUAAUGAAUUAAUUGAUGCCUUGAAUGAAAAGAAUAUACUUUUAGAAAAGCAAGAGGAUUUGUUGUAUGAAGAGCAUGAUAAAUUUGUUGAGGCACAAAAAUCCUAUGCUUUAGAAGUUAAGAGAAAUGAAAUGCUUUCUUUUGAACUAUCUACUUGUCAUGAAACCAUUUCUACUUUGAAAGGUGUCAACAAUGAUUUAAAUGCUAAAUUAGAAGUAGCAAACAAAUCCAAUUCUUGUGUAGAACAUGUUGAAAUUUGUACUAGGUGUAAAGACUUUGACAUUAAUGCUUGUAGUGAACACCUAGUUUCAAUUUCCAAGCUUAAUGAUGAACUGGCUAGUCUUAAUGCUCAACUUAAGACUAGCAAGAAUGAUUUCGAUAAGCUAAAAUUUGCAAGGGAUGCCUACACAAUUGGUAGACACCCCUCAAUUAAGGAUGGACUUGGCUUCAAGAGAGAAGCUAAGGACUUAACAAGCCAUAAGGCUCCCAUUCCCGCCAAGGAGAAAGGGAAGGCCCCUAUGGCUAGUAAUGUGCAAAAGAACCAUGCUUUUAUGUAUUAUGAUAGGAGACAAACUAGAAAUGCUUAUAGGAGUUAUAAUGCUUUUGAUGAUUUUGACUCUCAUGCCAUGUUUGCUCCUAGUUCCUCUUAUGUGUAUGAUAGAAAUGUUACUAGGAGAAAUGUUGUUCCUAAGAGAAAUACUAUUCAUCAUGUGUCUAGAAAGAAUGCUAUUCAUGCUCCUAGGAAAGUAGUGAAUGAACCUUCCACAAUUUAUUAUGCUUUAAAUGCUUCCUUUGCUAUUUGUAGAAAGGAUAAGAAAAUUGUUGCUAGAAAGUUAGGGGCAAAAUGCAAGGGAGACAAAACUUGCAUUUGGGUCCCUAAGGAUAUUUGCACUAACCUUGUAGGACCCAACAUGAGUUGGGUACCUAAGACCCAAGCCUAAAUUUGCCUUGCAGGUUUAUGCAUCCGGGGGUUCAAGCUGGAUUAUUGAUAGCGGAUGCACAAACCAUAUGACGGGGGAGAAGAAGAUGUUCACCUCCUACGUCAAGAAUAAGGAUUCCCAAGAUUCAAUCAUAUUCGGUGAUGGGAAUCAAGGCAAGGUAAAAGGGUUAGGUAAAAUUGCAAUUUCUAAUGAGCACUCUAUCUCUAAUGUGUUUUUAGUAGAGUCACUAGGAUAUAAUUUACUAUCUGUUAGUCAAUUGUGCAAUAUGGGAUAUAACUGUCUGUUUACAAAUAUAGAUGUGUCUGUCUUUAGAAGAAGUGAUGGUUCACUAGCUUUUAAGGGUGUAUUAGACGGCAAACUUUAUUUAGUUGAUUUUGCAAAAGAAGAGGCCGGUCUAGAUGCAUGCUUAAUGGCUAAGACUUGCAUGGGCUGGCUGUGGCAUCGCCGCUUAGCACAUGUGGGGAUGAAGAACCUUCACAAGCUUCUAAAAGGAGAACACGUGAUAGGUCUAACCAAUGUUCAAUUCGAAAAAGAUAGACCUUGUGCAGCUUGUCAAGCAGGGAAACAAGUGGGAGGAGCGCAUCACAGCAAGAAUGUGAUGACCACUUCAAGACCCCUGGAGCUGCUGCAUAUGGACCUCUUCGGACCCGUCGCCUAUCUAAGCAUAGGGGGAAGUAAGUAUGGUCUAGUUAUUGUUGAUGACUUUUCCCGCUUCACUUGGGUGUUCUUUUUGCAGGAUAAGUCUGAAACCCAAGGGACCCUCAAGCGCUUCCUCAGGAGGGCUCAAAAUGAGUUUGAGCUCAAAGUGAAGAAGAUAAGGAGCGACAACGGGUCCGAAUUCAAGAACCUUCAAGUGGAGGAGUUCCUUGAAGAAGAAGGGAUCAAGCACGAGUUCUCCGCUCCCUACACACCACAGCAAAAUGGUGUGGUAGAGAGGAAGAACAGGACGCUCAUUGACAUGGCGAGGACGAUGCUAGGAGAGUUCAAGACCCCCGAGUGCUUUUGGACGGAAGCCGUGAACACUGCUUGCCAUGCCAUCAACAGGGUCUACCUUCAUCGCCUCCUCAAGAAGACGUCGUAUGAGCUUCUAACCGGUAACAAACCCAAUGUAUCGUACUUUCGUGUAUUUGGGAGUAAAUGCUACAUUCUAGUGAAGAAGGGUAGAAAUUCUAAGUUUGCUCCCAAAGCUGUAGAAGGGUUUUUGUUAGGUUAUGACUCAAAUACAAAGGCGUAUAGAGUCUUCAACAAAUCAUCGGGUUUGGUUGAAGUCUCUAGCGACGUUGUAUUUGAUGAGACUAAUGGCUCUCCAAGAGAGCAAGUUGUUGAUUGUGAUGAUGUAGAUGAAGAAGAUGUUCCGACGGCCGCUAUACGGACCAUGGCGAUUGGAGAAGUACGGCCACAGGAACAAGAUGAACGAAAUCAACCUUCUUCCUCAACUAUGGUGCAUCCCCCAACCAAAGAUGACGAACAGGUACCUCAAGUGGAGGCGCUCGAUCAAGGGGGAGCACAAGAUAAUCAUGUGAUGGAGGAAGAAGUGCAACCGGCACCUCCAACCCAAGUUCGAGCGAUGAUUCAAAGGGAUCAUCCCGUCGACCAAAUUCUGGGUGACAUUAGCAAGGGAGUAACUACUCGAUCUCGAUUAGUUAAUUUUUGUGAGCAUUACUCUUUUGUCUCUUCUAUUGAGCCUUUCAGGGUAGAGGAGGCCUUGCUAGAUCCGGACUGGGUGUUGGCCAUGCAAGAGGAGCUAAACAACUUCAAGCGCAAUGAAGUUUGGACACUGGUGCCUCGUCCGAAGCAAAAUGUUGUGGGAACCAAGUGGGUGUUCCGCAACAAACAGGACGAGCACGGGGUGGUGACGAGGAACAAGGCUCGACUUGUGGCAAAAGGUUAUGCCCAAGUCGCAGGUUUGGACUUUGAGGAGACCUUUGCUCCUGUGGCUAGGCUAGAGUCCAUUCGUAUUUUGCUAGCAUAUGCCGCUCACCAUUCUUUCAGGUUGUACCAAAUGGAUGUGAAGAGCGCUUUCCUCAACGGGCCAAUCAAGGAGGAGGUGUACGUGGAGCAACCCCCUGGCUUCGAGGAUGAACGGUACCCCGACCACGUGUGUAAGCUCUCUAAGGCGCUCUAUGGACUUAAGCAAGCCCCAAGAGCAUGGUAUGAAUGCCUUAGAGACUUUUUACUUGCUAAUGCUUUCAAGGUUGGGAAGGCCGAUCCAACUCUUUUUACAAAGACAUGUGAUGGUGAUUUGUUUGUGUGCCAAAUUUAUGUCGAUGACAUAAUAUUUGGUUCUACUAACCAAAAGUCUUGUGAAGAGUUUAGCAGGGUGAUGACGCAGAAAUUCGAGAUGUCGAUGAUGGGCGAGUUGAACUACUUCCUUGGGUUCCAAGUGAAGCAACUCAAGGAAGGCACCUUCAUCUCCCAAACGAAGUACACGCAAGAUCUGCUAAAGCGGUUUGGGAUGAAGGACGCCAAGCCCGCAAAGACGCCAAUGGGGACCGACGGACACACCGACCUCAACAAAGGAGGUAAGUCCGUUGAUCAAAAAGCAUACCGGUCAAUGAUAGGUUCUUUGCUUUACUUAUGUGCUAGUAGACCGGAUAUUAUGCUUAGCGUAUGCAUGUGUGCUAGAUUUCAAUCCGAUCCUAAGGAGUGUCACUUAGUGGCGGUGAAGCGAAUUCUUAGAUAUUUGGUUGCUACGCCUUGCUUCGGGCUCUGGUAUCCAAAGGGGUCUACCUUUGACUUAGUUGGAUACUCAGACUCCGACUAUGCUGGAUGUAAGGUCGAUAGGAAGAGUACAUCGGGGACGUGCCAAUUCUUAGGAAGGUCCCUGGUGUCAUGGAACUCUAAGAAACAAACCUCCGUUGCCCUAUCCACCGCUGAGGCCGAGUAUGUUGCCGCAGGACAGUGUUGCGCGCAACUACUUUGGAUGAGGCAAACCCUCCGGGACUUUGGCUACAAUCUGAGCAAAGUCCCACUCCUAUGUGACAAUGAGAGUGCUAUCCGCAUGGCGGAGAAUCCUGUUGAGCACAGCCGCACAAAGCACAUAGACAUCCGGCAUCACUUUUUGAGAGACCACCAGCAAAAGGGGGAUAUCGAAGUGUUUCAUGUUAGCACCGAGAACCAGCUAGCCGAUAUCUUCACUAAGCCUCUAGAUGAGAAGACCUUUUGCAGGUUGCGUAGUGAGCUAAAUGUCUUAGAUUCGCGGAACCUGGAUUGAAUUGUAGCAUACAUGUAGUUAUGCUUUUGAUCAUGUUCCUUUUUUUUUGCAUUAUGUUGCUUAUUAUGGUGCUCAAGUUGUACAAACACUCCCUGGACCUCACAAGUCCGUUGCAAAGUGAUGCACAUAUUUAGGGGGAGAUGUGUUACAACUUGACCCUUUGAGACUAACCUUGUGCUUGAGUUUGAUAAUUUAGUCUCGAAGGAGGAUUGAAAGGGAAAAGGUGGACUUGGACCAUGAAAGACUUCCACUGCACUCCGAUGAGAGGGUAACUAAUUCCAAGUUCAUCUCAUGAAAUCUUAUUGCCAUUUGCUCUUAAUUGAAGACUUUGGUGAGGCAAUGAGGUUAAAAGGCCAAGAUUGAUCCCGUUUUGGUGCUUGAUGCCAAAGGGGGAGAAAAUAAAGGCCAAAGCGAUAAAUGGAUCAGCUACCACUUGAGAGAUUUUGAAAAUAGUAGAAUAGAGUUUUUGUUGUGUCAAAAGCUUUUAUUGUCUCUCUUGUCAAAAGUUGGCUUCUUGUGGGGAGAAGUAUUGAUUAUGGGAAAUAGGGGGAGUUUUUGAAAUCUUUGAUCAAUCUCUUUUGGAAUGACUCUCUUUAUACUUCAACAUGUGUGUUUGACUUAGAGAUAGAGAUUUGAGUUUGAUUUGCAAAAACAAACCAAGUGGUGGCAAAGGAUGAUCCAUAUAUGCCAAAAUUGAAUAAAACCAAUUUGAGUUUUUAUUUAAAGUGAUUUUGCACUUGUUCUAGUUGCUUUAUAUUGUGUUGGCAUAAAUCACCAAAAAGGGGGAGAUUGAAAGGGAAAUGUGCCUUUGGGCCAUUUCUAAGUAUUUUGGUGAUUGAGUGCAAACACAAGUGCUUAAAUGUGAAAAUAUGCCCAAGGAUGAUCAAAGUGCAAAUCACAAGUUAAGGUAUGUUUCUAAGCCUUAGUACAUUGGUUUUGUGUACUAAUAUAUUUGUCUAAGUGUUAGAAACAGAUAGAAGAAGAGAAGAGAAGACUUGGCUGUGUACAGCCAAGGGGCUGCUUCGGUCUGGGGCACCGGACUGUCCGGUGGUGCACCGGACAGUGUCCGGUGCGCCAGGCUGCCUCGACCGAAGAGGCCGCUCUCGGGUUUUUCUCUGGCAACUUCGGCUAAAAUUCACCGGACUGUCCGGUGUGCACCGGACUGUCCGGUGAGCCAACGGUCGGCCGGGCCAACGGUCGGCCGCGCGAUCGCCGCGCGACACAUGGCUGAGCCAACGGUCGGAAGAAAGCACCGGACUGUCCGGUGUGCACCGGACUGUCCGGUGCGCCAGAUCUGCAACGGUCGGCAACGGUCGGCUUCGCUUUCUAUGGAAACAAAUCGGGCACCGGACAGUGUCCGGUGUGCACCGGACUGUCCGGUGCGCCACGAGACAGAAGGCAAAGAUGGCCUUCCAGAUUUGUUCCCAACGGCUCCUAGCUGCCUUGGGGCUAUAAAAGGGACCCCUUGGCGCAUGGAGGAGUACACCAAGCAUUCCUACAACUCUUCUAAGCACCAAGACAUCAAUCUCACGCAUUCGUUUCAUUGUGAUAGCAUAUAGAGCUCUUGUGGAGUUGUGAACUCUUUGUGUUGCGUUGCGAGCUCUUGUUGCGACUUGUGUGCGUGUUGUUGCUCUGAUUUUCGAGUCUUGUGUGCGUUGCUCAUUCCCACCUUACUCCGUAUUUCUUUGUGAACUCAAUUGUAAGGGCGAGAGACUCCAAGUUGUGGAGAUUCCUCGCAAACGGGAAAAGAUCAAAGGAAAGAAAAACACCGUGGUAUUCAAGUUGAUCAUUGGAUCACUUGAGAGGAGUUGAGUGCAACUCUCGUCCGUUGGGACGCCACAACGUGGAGUAGGCAAGUUUUGUACUUGGCCGAACCACGGGAUAACCACCGUGUCAACUCUGUGAUUGCUUUCUUGUGGUUAUUGUGUUUUGACUCCUCUCUAGCCACUUGGCCAUACCUGUGCUAACUCUUAACAAGUUUUUGUGGCUUAAGUUUUUGAAGUUUUACAGGAUCACCUAUUCACCCCCCCCUCUAGGUGCUCUCAGUACCGCAGGAUGAGGCGCUUGGAGGAUGUUGUGACGUGUUCAUGAGAGGUCUAGGCCGUCGUCUCCCAGUCAACUUUGGGUUGCUGGACCGUUGUCUCUGUAUAAUGUAAUUAUUUAUUUAUUUUGUACAGAAUUCCUAUUGUAUAGUAAAGUUGUGACAU